GUACGCAGGUACGCGCGCGUUCUGACUCCAAAGCGCGUUCACGUCAUCGCGCCUGUGCUGAGGAGAGUCUGUCAGUCGAUAAAGAUGAUUUGAUGUGGCAGAAAAAUCCUUCCACACAGAGGAGUCUUUCAAGUAAUAAAAACCAGGUAUUGAUGAAACAUUCACCUCACAUCUUCAAAUAGAAAAGAGCUGAAAUAAAGAACUGACAGCUCAGAUGGUGCCAGAAGAUUUUUCCUUGAAUAGAAAAUCACCCAGAAUCAAAUUGUGAAAGUUCAUGAGAAUUUGCUGUGACACAUGAUCAUAAACACUUCAUGGAGAAAACACUUUUAUAACUCCGUUCAGAGAGCGGACUGUUUUAACAAAUCACUGUUUACAGAUAAACACGCACAGACUUAUAUUUAUACACUGAUUUUUAGCUGAAAGUGGAAGUUGUUUGGAUGGUCAACAGUCUGUAGGAGUGAAGGUACAGUUCCUCGUGUCCAGACUAGAAACUCUUGGGUGUCACACAGAUGCCCAGCUCAGCAAAACCCCAUGUUUUGGCAGGGGAGAGCAUGAUGGACACACCCAAAAUAAAAAGAUUCAUGCUUGCGAGACUGCGCACAUAACCCAGAUAUCUUUAGAAAGCAAACGCUGUGACUGUACGAUUAUAUUUCAGUAAUUCAACCACACAUUUGCAUGUUCACGGUUUUCUGAUGUCAGUUCACGUACUAACAAAUGAUAACAAAUACAGCUUUUUAUUUUUAAAGCGUAUUAGUAAAUGUUGAAAUAAUCAUUAACAAAGAUGUAGAAGUAUUUCUCAUUGUUAGUUCAUGUUAACUAAUACUAAUGUUAACAAAUGAAACCUUAUUGUAAAGUUUUACCAAUUAAUUAUUGUUUUUUCAUCAACUUUUGAACCCCAGUUUGGGAAACCUGAUCUAGUGGAAAACUAGACGCCAAUAUCUGGAUUACCUGAAUGUAAAGUACAAGUAUAAGUUAGAUAUGAGUCACAGUGAUUAUACAAAGCGCUUGUCAUGGCUUAUUUAUUGAUUUUAUUAUUUCAAAGAAUGGCCUGCAUAUGUGGUAUUUUUGGAAAAACAGAAACAUUUCCAAGUUUCUUGUACAGUAAUCUUGGAAGAAUGCUGCAUUAUCACUUUGGGUAUUUAUUUAGCUCAUGUUGUUAUUAUAAAAACACACACAUCAGCUGUUUUCCAGGGAUGCAAACUCAUGAGAAGUGAAAAAGAAAUCAAUGACUGCUGUUUCAAGGGUAUGUUUCCCAUAUCUCUCUUUUUUGUAAGUGGGGCAACUGGAAUUGAGAUGAACAGGAUUGUUACCAAAUAUUUCUCCUUUUUUCAUGCAAAAGUAUUGGUUCAAAACAGACGAUUUUAUUUAAAGGAGCCAGGACUGUUUAAAGCUGUCCAAACUUGUGUUAGUAAUGCAACUUAGUCAACCUCAACUCUACUGACCCCCAUUGACCAGAACUAAUAAAAUACACUGCGAGGUAAUGGACAAUGAGUUAAAGUCGGUGAAAUGUUAGAAGAGAGAAAUUACUUUGAUGUGAAGCAGAUUUUGGAAGAUUGAAGGACAGCAGCAGGACACAAGUGCACAAAUGGUGUUUGGAUUUCCUGCAGUUAUUUGUGUGUACACAAGAUGGCGCUUCCCAAACACUGCUGAUCAAAACAAGUCUCUGUUUCCCAAAGUGUCUUAUAGGAGAAACUCAAACAAUUGUAUAGAUCAAUAACUGCAUAGAAGUGCUAAACACCUACCAAAUGUCAAAUACAUAAAUGCUCCAUAUGAUGCAUCGAACUGAAAUGCAGAAGUACUAACUGAUGUAAAGUCUGUUGUUCAUCUACCGCAUAACCCAAUGGCCUUAGUGUUGUUAGGAAGAUGAACAACAGACGGGAACAGCGAAUGGAAAAUACUGAGGGAAGGUUUUAAAGUACUCUGUAAAAAUUGAUUAGCUGCUUUUAUUUAAAGGCUGGUGGAAAAUAAGCGUUAGUUUCUUUCAUGUUCCCUUGAGUUUUCUCCACUUGACACCGAAGACACAAAAAUUAAGUCAGACAACUGGAACGAGUCAGAGAAAACCGAUCCAAUCUGGUUCCUCGAUGAGAAACACUCAUUUGCCUCAGAGAGACGGGCCAAUGACCGGCGUAUUAAUCAGAGGGGAAAGUUGUGAAAGAAAAGUGGGAACAGAAGGAUGAUGAGUAAAACUGUGUGGCGCUCCAGGUCCAAACCGCAGAUCGAAAUUGCAGUCGAUUGACCAGUGACGACUUCCCUCCUGGAAUUAUUUGGUUCAACACCCCCAAAAGUGCUUCUGGGAAUACAGAUUUCUUUUUUGUGUAGGGUUUGUGAUAGAGGGAUGAUGUAAUUUUGUAGGCAAAAACCCAGAAACGAGUUGCAAUUUUGCUGUCCCUCUUCUAUUGUCCUGAAGUCAAUGUUUUGGGGUUUUUUUUAAUGGGUUUUUGAUUAAGAUCUAAAGAUAUUUUCACUUCUACUACAGAAAAUCCAUUAGUAUAACCCCCUUGUGAUUACUUUAAAAGAUUUUACUUGUCUUGAAAAAGGCAGUUGCUUUUAUAUUUUAUAUUAAUCGUCAUCAUGUCAAACAGGUAAACUCAUCUUCUCACUAGUUGCUUUCACGGAUUGUUUUCAACACUCUUAUUGCAUUUGGGUCAGUUUUGCAUGGAAGCUUGUUUCCGCCAUGAAAUAAAAAAAUAAAAAAGGUAAUUGUGACUUUAUCUCACAAUUC
Megalobrama amblycephala (Wuchang bream) is the source of this 2722-nucleotide long non-coding RNA. RefSeq lists it as uncharacterized. The record is from RefSeq and is a predicted model, not a curated record. Lineage: Eukaryota; Metazoa; Chordata; Actinopteri; Cypriniformes; Xenocyprididae. The transcript has 5 exons.